AGUGAAAGAAGGAAAGAAGAAAGGAAAGAAGAGUGAAGAAAGGAAAGGAGUGGAAGAAGGAAAGAAGAAAAGAAAGAGGAGUGAAAGAAGGAAAGAAGAAAGGAAAGAAGAGUGGAAGAAGGAAAAAAGAAGGAAAGAAGAGCGAAGAAAUGAAAGAAGAGUGGAAGAAGGAAAGAAGAAAAGAAAGAAGAGUGAAAGAAGGAAAGAAGAGUGGAAGAAGGAAAGAAGAGUGGAAGAAGAGUGGAAGAAGGAAAGAAGAAAGGAAAGAAGAGUAAAGUAAGGAAAGAAGAGUGGAAGAAGGAAAGAAGAGUGGAAGAAGGAAAGAAGAGUUGAAGAAGGAAAGAAGAAAGGAAAGAAGAGUGAAGAAAGGAAAGAAGAGUAGAAGAAGGAAAGAAGAAAAGAAAGAAGGGAAAGAAGAAAGGAAAGAAGAGUGGAAGAAGGAAAGAAAAAAGAAAGAAGAGUGGAAGAAGGAAAGAAGAGUGGAAGAAGGAAAGAAGAAAGAAAAGAAGAGUGAAGAAAGGAAAGAAGAGUGGAAGAAGGAAAGAAGAGUGGAAGAAGGAAAGAAGAGAGAGUGAAGAGGGAAAAUAUUGAAAGAAGGAGAGAAAAUGGAGUCAAGCAGAGAGAUGGAGUGUGAGAGAAAGUAGAGUGAGAGGGAUAGAGAGAAAGAUAGAGAAAAAAAAGUAGAGAAUGGAAGGUGUCUCUUAAUAUUCCUAGUUAUACAGUUGAAUGGAGAGGGACAGAGAGAAGAGGAGCCUUGGAACCUUGGCGCAGGUGUCAGUGAAGCACAGGUGCAAGCCAGUUUAAUGACCCUAUUAUGAUGUCAUAAUGGCCCAAUGUAAGUCAAUGGGAGAAAUUGUAUUAGUUUUUCUUUAAUAUUUUAAAAAGUAUAAAGUUUAGAAAAAUGAAAAAUACAUAGCAUAAGUGUCCUUUACAAGACCUACGCGCCAAAGUUUGAACGAAGUUUUUAAGUUAAGCGGUUCGAGCUGAAUUAAGCGCAGAAGUUCGGUAAAGAGAAUAAUAAGAAGAAGAAGAAUAAGAAGCCUAGGAAUAACAAUACAGGGCAUUUCAU
Long non-coding RNA from Clupea harengus (Atlantic herring), 1069 nucleotides. The record is from Ensembl. Lineage: Eukaryota; Metazoa; Chordata; Actinopteri; Clupeiformes; Clupeidae.